Molecule: ribosomal RNA, 408 nt
Filed under: Brevundimonas diminuta
Lineage: Bacteria; Pseudomonadati; Pseudomonadota; Alphaproteobacteria; Caulobacterales; Caulobacteraceae
Description: bacterial SSU rRNA
Rfam family: Bacterial small subunit ribosomal RNA
Source: RNAcentral
UGGGUCAGAGCCNACGCUGGCGGCAGGCCUGACACAUGCAAGUCGAACGGACCCUUCGGGGUUAGUGGCGGACGGGUGAGUAACACGUGGGCUACGUGCCUUUAGGUUCGGAAUAGCUCCUGGAAACGGGUGGUAAUGCCGAAUGUGCCCUUCGGGGGAAAGAUUUAUCGCCUUUAGAGCGGCCCGCGUCUGAUUAGCUAGUUGGUGAGGUAACGGCUCACCAAGGCGACGAUCAGUAGCUGGUCUGAGAGGAUGACCAGCCACACUGGGACUGAGACACGGCCCAGACUCCUACGGGAGGCAGCAGUGGGGAAUCUUGCGCAAUGGGCGAAAGCCUGACGCAGCCAUGCCGCGUGAAUGAUGAAGGUCUUAGGAUUGUAAAAUUCUUUCACCGGGGACGAUAAUGAC